GCCCCAGACUCCUACGGGAGGCAGCAGUGGGGAAUAUUGCACAAUGGGCGCAAGCCUGAUGCAGCCAUGCCGCGUGUAUGAAGAAGGCCUUCGGGUUGUAAAGUACUUUCAGCGGGGAGGAAGGCGAUAAGGUUAAUAACCUUGUCGAUUGACGUUACCCGCAGAAGAAGCACCGGCUAACUCCGUGCCAGCAGCCGCGGUAAUACGGAGGGUGCAAGCGUUAAUCGGAAUUACUGGGCGUAAAGCGCACGCAGGCGGUCUGUCAAGUCGGGUGUAAAAUCCCCGGGCUCAACCUGGGAACUGCAUUCGAAACUGGCAGGCUGGAGUCUUGUAGAGGGGGGUAGAAUUCCAGGUGUAGCGGUGAAAUGCGAAGAGAUCUGGCGGAAUACCGGUGGCGAAGGCGGCCCCCUGGACAGAGACUGACGCUCAGG
This 431-nucleotide ribosomal RNA is filed under the name uncultured bacterium. RNAcentral describes it as "bacterial SSU rRNA". It matches the Rfam family "Bacterial small subunit ribosomal RNA", at positions 328 to 751 of the family's 1533-position model. The record is from RNAcentral.